Long non-coding RNA from Cavia porcellus (domestic guinea pig), 609 nucleotides. RefSeq lists it as uncharacterized. The record is from RefSeq and is a predicted model, not a curated record. Lineage: Eukaryota; Metazoa; Chordata; Mammalia; Rodentia; Caviidae. The transcript has 3 exons.
GACUCCUUCUUCAGAAUGUUCAACUACAGCCGUGAGGCUGGAGAAGGAACUGAAUGUGAGGGUGCAGUUGUUCAGCGCCAGACGAAGAGCCGUGUCAGAGGCUGUCCUCCAGGGAACCUGCUGGAAGUUCCCCCCACAAUUCCUCCUUUCUGGGAUGGCAGUUCUUUGUUUAUUGAAGUCACACCUUGGACACCAUCAGCUAUUUCAGAACUAUGAAAAAAAGAGCUUGAAACCAUGAGGUCCUGUCCACCAUGGGGAAUGGGAAGAGACCCAGCAAGAAGCCGAACCAUGCCUUCCUGUGAGCCAGCCAGUGCACAGACUGGGAGACCAGGUGUCUUCCCUCUGCCCCACUAAGCAACUGACUGAUUCAGAGGACUCAGGAUAAGAUGAUAGUAACUGAGGCGAAGGGAACAUCUCCAUGCUUGUAUUGUUUGAUUGACUCUGCUGGCUGGACUGGUGGUCUGGGCAUUUACUUGGAAGAUGGCAGUGUGCAUCGUGGCAACUAUUUUGAAGAUAACAAUAUGCAAUGUAGCAACUGUUAUUAAAUUCCUAUCAUUUUGUUUUGAAAACCUGUAUAGCUAUGUUUUGUUGUUUUGCUUUGGUAUUAUU